ACACUGACGUCGCGACGCAUAUCAAUAAGCGGAGGAAAAGAAACUAACAAGGAUUCCCUUAGUAACGGCGAGUGAAGCGGGAAGAGCUCAAAUUUGAAAUCUUCAAGGUUCUACCUUGACGAAUUGUAGUUUAAAGAAGUGUUUUCUGUUAGAUGAGUAGCAAAAGUUCCUUGGAAUAGGGACAUCAUAGAGGGUGAGAAUCCCGUAUUUGGUCAUUCCUUCUAGCUUUGUGAUACACUUUCAAAGAGUCGGAUUGUUUGGGAAUGCAGUCCAAAAUGGGUGGUAAAUUUCAUCUAAAGCUAAAUAUUGGCGAGAGACCGAUAGCGAACAAGUACCGUGAGGGAAAGAUGAAAAGAGCUUUGAAAAGAGAGUUAAACAGUACGUGAAAUUGUCAAAAGGGAAGCGUUUGACACCAGUGUUGUUUUUCCGAAAAUCAAUUAUAAAUGUUUUGUUUCUGAGGAGUGAUGACUUCAUCGGCUUCCUUCUCUCUUCACGAAACUUUUGUAAUGCACUUUUCGGUUAACAAGUCAACAUCAAUUUCUUUUGUUGUAAAAGAGUAUUCGGAAGGUGGCUUUCUUUUCGGAGAAAGUGUUUAUAGCCCUAUACUUCUACAAUCGGAGAGAUUGAGGUCUGCAGCGUAGAUCCUUCGGGGUUAGAUACACUUGUGCUAAGUUAUAGCUUUUCAUAGACAACUUGUUGACUAUGUUUAGUCUUGUAGCUUACUCGCUUGUGCUAUUUUACCUACGCUUAGGAUGUUGAGUCGUAGAGCACGCAG
RNAcentral lists this ribosomal RNA (775 nucleotides) under uncultured Neocallimastigales. RNAcentral describes it as "partial large subunit ribosomal RNA". It matches the Rfam family "Eukaryotic large subunit ribosomal RNA", at positions 25 to 634 of the family's 3401-position model. The record is from RNAcentral. Lineage: Eukaryota; Fungi; Neocallimastigomycota; Neocallimastigomycetes; Neocallimastigales.